RNAcentral lists this ribosomal RNA (450 nucleotides) under uncultured bacterium. Its description in RNAcentral is "bacterial SSU rRNA". It matches the Rfam family "Bacterial small subunit ribosomal RNA", at positions 354 to 796 of the family's 1533-position model. The record is from RNAcentral.
GUCUAGAAAUUUGGGCAAUGGGCGAAAGCCUGACCCAGCGACACCGCGUGGAGGAUGAAGUCCUUCGGGAUGUAAACUCCUGUCAGGAGGAACGAUGCCACUCGGUAGUAACUGCCCGAGUGGUGACGGUACUUCCAAAGGAAGCCCCGGCUAACUACGUGCCAGCAGCCGCGGUAAUACGUAGGGGGCAAGCGCUGUCCGGAUUUACUGGGCGUAAAGGGUGUGUAGGCGGACUGGUGUGUCGAUGGUGAAAGCCUCCGGCUCAACUGGAGAACUGCUGUCGAAACUACCGGUCUAGAGGACAGAAGAGGAAACUGGAACUUCCGGUGUAGCGGUAAAAUGCGUAGAUAUCGGAAGGAACGCCAAUAGCGAAGGCAGGUUUCUGGUAUGUCCCUGACGCUGAAACACGAAAGCCAGGGGAGCAAACAGGAUUAGAUACCCCUGUAGUCC